RNAcentral lists this ribosomal RNA (468 nucleotides) under uncultured bacterium. Its description in RNAcentral is "partial 16S ribosomal RNA". It matches the Rfam family "Bacterial small subunit ribosomal RNA", at positions 28 to 507 of the family's 1533-position model. The record is from RNAcentral.
GACGAACGCUGGCGGCGUGCUUAACACAUGCAAGUCGAACGGAAAGGCCCUGCUUUUGUGGGGUGCUCGAGUGGCGAACGGGUGAGUCCCACGUGAGUAACCUGCCCUUGACUUUGGGAUAACUUCAGGAAACUGGGGCUAAUACCGGAUAGGAGCUCCUGCUGCAUGGUGGGGGUUGGAAAGUUUCGGCGGUUGGGGAUGGACUCGCGGCUUAUCGGCUUGUUGGUGGGGUAGUGGCUUACCAAGGCUUUGACGGGUAGCUGGCCUGAGAGGUUGACCGGCCACACUGGUGCUUAUGUACGGCCCCGACUCCUACGGGAGGCAGCAGUGGGGAAUAUUGCACAAUGGGCGGAACCCUGAUGCAGCACCGCCGCGUGCGGGAUGACGGCCUUCGGGUUGUAACCCGCUUUCGCAUGUGACGAAGCGUGAGUGACGGUAAUGUGUAAAGAAGCACCGGCUAACUACGUG